This 1628-nucleotide long non-coding RNA is filed under the name Homo sapiens (human). Its description in RNAcentral is "HSALNT0374069". The record is from RNAcentral. Lineage: Eukaryota; Metazoa; Chordata; Mammalia; Primates; Hominidae.
CAACUACACUUGAGGGAGGAAAGUGCAGGACACCGAGGGGACCUGUGUCUUGUGUUUCAGAUGGUGAGUGGAGAUUUGGGAAGCCUUGUAGAGAAGUCCUGUAUUCUGUUUCCUUUCCUUCCUUCCUUCCUUCCUUCCUUCCUUCCUUCCUUCCUUCCUUCCCUCCUUCCUUCCUUCCUUCUUUUUUCCCUCCCUCCCUCCCUCCCUCCCUCCCUUCCUUCCUUCCUUCCUUUCUUCCUUCCUUCCUUCCUUCCCAUGGUUUCCCUCUGUCACCCAGGCUGGAGUACAGUGGCACGAUCUCAGCUCACUGAAGCCUUACCUACUGGGCUCAAGCGAUCCUCCCACCUCAGCCUCGCACAUAGCUGGGACUACAGUAUAGAAACUUGAUACCUCCCUGCAAGCUGAGGGAGCAGGCUCCGGCCUUGGCCAGCCCAGAAAGGGGAUCCCACAAUGCAGCGGUGGGCUGAAGUGUUCCUCAAGUGCCGCCAAAGUGGGAGCCCAGGCAGAGGAGGCGCCGAGAGCGAGUGAGGGCUGUGAGGACUGCCAGCACGCUGUCACCUCUCAACACUGCGGUGCUGAUAAUGACACUUCCUGAUAAUUAGGAAUGUGGAGCCAAGAUGGCCGAAUAGGAACAGCUCCGGUCUACAGCUCCCAGCGUGAGCGACGCAGAAGAUGGGUGAUUUCUGCAUUUCCAUCUGAGGUUUUUCCCAUGGUGUUCCCUUUCCAAUGUCUUUCUGGAAGUCACACAUUGACCACUAACAACAGGAGAGAGGACAAAGAAAGGCAGCAAAAGACUAUUUCCAAUGCGAAAUAUGAUCAGACGAUUCUUCUUCCAGUGUGCCCCAAGGAAGCCAAAAGAUUGGACACCCCUGGAAACUCAUCAGUCAGAGGAGAUGUGAGUGAGAGGCCUCAAGUGACCCUUUCUGGAAAUUCUUCCAUAUGAAAACAUGGGAGGAGGGAGGUUUCCUAUGUAGGAACCACAUGUGCAAAAAUGGCAAAAGAAAGAGAGGAGCAAGAGAUCCGCUUAUGAUAAUCCAACAAAACGAUAACUGGAACAGAAAAGAAAACGACGGCCAAUCAAACCCCUGAGUGACUCCACAUUGUCUUUAAUUCUCCUCUAAUCAAAGAGCAGCACACAGUUGUGAGAGGUGGUCCGAGCCGGGGAGAUUAUGCAGAGAGUGACUCCAUUCAGAGAAAUUUUGGCAUGAUUCCUAACCUCUUAGCCUGAGGGAGAAUUUCUUAAAUUUUAUUUGUGGUUCUCACCUGAGAGAAUUGAUGCCUUCAAGAGAGCACCAGACAGAGGCUAAACAGACAUGCAAUAAAAUUAUCCUCCUUGGAUGGGUCAGGAGCUGGCUGAUAACUUACUCUAAGCCUACAUCAAUCAGGGAGCAGCAGGGGCAUCCACAGUCAAGGAGAGCUGAAGGUGGCAGGGCGUACAGCCGCAGAUCAUCUUAAAUAAAGAUAUAGAAGGCAGACUCUCAUAAAAGAAACCAUAAAUGAAACAAUGAAUAACGACUUCUGUUUAUCAUUCUCUAUUGUUUGCAACUUUCACAAUAAGCGUGUAUUGUUUUCUUAAAUAAAUAGCAAACAAUAAACUCAUAUUGAUAUGGCAUCAAUUUUCACUGAAU